This 279-nucleotide ribosomal RNA is filed under the name uncultured bacterium. Its description in RNAcentral is "partial 16S ribosomal RNA". It matches the Rfam family "Bacterial small subunit ribosomal RNA", at positions 506 to 784 of the family's 1533-position model. The record is from RNAcentral.
UGCCAGCAGCCGCGGUAAUACGGAGGGGGCUAACGUUGUUCGGAAUUACUGGGCGUAAAGGGCGUGUAGGCGGUUUGUCUAGUCAGGCGUGAAAGCCCCGGGCUCAACCUGGGAACUGCGUUUGAUACUGGCAGGCUAGAGGUUGGAAGAGGAGAGUGGAAUUCCCAGUGUAGCGGUGGAAUGCGUAGAUAUUGGGAGGAACACCAGUGGCGAAGGCGGCUCCCUGGCCAAAGACUGACGCUCACGUGCGAAAGUGUGGGUAGCGAACAGGAUUAGAUA